ACUCCUACGGGAGGCAGCAGUGGGGAAUAUUGGACAAUGGGCGAAAGCMUGAUCCAGCCAUGCCGCGUGUGUGAAGAAGGUCUUCGGAUUGUAAAGCACUUUAAGUUGGGAGGAAGGGCAGUAAGUUAAUACCUUGCUGUUUUGACGUUACCGACAGAAUAAGCACCGGCUAACUCUGUGCCAGCAGCCGCGGUAAUA
RNAcentral lists this ribosomal RNA (198 nucleotides) under uncultured bacterium. Its description in RNAcentral is "partial 16S ribosomal RNA". It matches the Rfam family "Bacterial small subunit ribosomal RNA", at positions 335 to 525 of the family's 1533-position model. The record is from RNAcentral.